CCAAAACCUAAAAGCUGGCUCUGCCCUAGGUAAGAGUUUUGGAGUGGUUCGUUCACGGUGGUCCCGUUGGCUGCCGUUCGGAGUUUGGGGUGGUGUUGUUGAGUGUUGAACGGUUGGAGCGACCGGUUCCAUCAAGCUCUCGGUGGUGGCCGAUCAUGAUGGUUUUUGUAGGGUUUUCAGUUGUGGUGGCUGAGAUUGGUGAAGGGGUGAGUUCUUGAGCUUGAGUAGCCGAUUAUGGGUUAUUUGAUGACAACCUCUCAUGUUCUAUGAGUUAAUUGCAUAACUGGGUAUGGCAAAUUGUUUGAGUUUCAUUGAAGAUUGAAUUUUGAGCAUGUGUAUGUUGGCAAAUAUGUUUCAAAUGUAUCCCUUUUUAAUGUUUUAGUUCCUAUUUGUUAGUUUAUUACGGUUAAUCAAGGUUUAGAAAGUUUGAAAAUGAUUAUAUGCUUUUAAGUUCUAUGAGUCAAAUGUAGAAUUGCGUGUAAAUGUUUUGUAUAGAAAUGAAUAUUGCAAUUUUUUCUUUUUA
This is a long non-coding RNA of Alnus glutinosa, 523 nucleotides long. RefSeq lists it as uncharacterized. Lineage: Eukaryota; Viridiplantae; Streptophyta; Magnoliopsida; Fagales; Betulaceae. The record is from RefSeq and is a predicted model, not a curated record. The transcript has 2 exons.